Molecule: ribosomal RNA, 1380 nt
Filed under: Latilactobacillus sakei
Lineage: Bacteria; Bacillati; Bacillota; Bacilli; Lactobacillales; Lactobacillaceae
Description: bacterial SSU rRNA
Rfam family: Bacterial small subunit ribosomal RNA
Source: RNAcentral
GAGCUUGCUCCUGAUUGAUACCACAUUUUGAGUGAGUGGCGGACGGGUGAGUUAACACGUGGGUAACCUGCCCUAAAGUGGGGGAUAACAUUUGGAAACAGAUGCUAAUACCGCAUAAAACCUAACACCGCAUGGUGUAGGGUUGAAAGAUGGUUUCGGCUAUCACUUUAGGAUGGACCCGCGGUGCAUUAGUUAGUUGGUGAGGUAAAGGCUCACCAAGACCGUGAUGCAUAGCCGACCUGAGAGGGUAAUCGGCCACACUGGGACUGAGACACGGCCCAGACUCCUACGGGAGGCAGCAGUAGGGAAUCUUCCACAAUGGACGAAAGUCUGAUGGAGCAACGCCGCGUGAGUGAAGAAGGUUUUCGGAUCGUAAAACUCUGUUGUUGGAGAAGAAUGUAUCUGAUAGUAACUGAUCAGGUAGUGACGGUAUCCAACCAGAAAGCCACGGCUAACUACGUGCCAGCAGCCGCGGUAAUACGUAGGUGGCAAGCGUUGUCCGGAUUUAUUGGGCGUAAAGCGAGCGCAGGCGGUUUCUUAAGUCUGAUGUGAAAGCCUUCGGCUCAACCGAAGAAGUGCAUCGGAAACUGGGAAACUUGAGUGCAGAAGAGGACAGUGGAACUCCAUGUGUAGCGGUGAAAUGCGUAGAUAUAUGGAAGAACACCAGUGGCGAAGGCGGCUGUCUGGUCUGUAACUGACGCUGAGGCUCGAAAGCAUGGGUAGCAAACAGGAUUAGAUACCCUGGUAGUCCAUGCCGUAAACGAUGAGUGCUAGGUGUUGGAGGGUUUCCGCCCUUCAGUGCCGCAGCUAACGCAUUAAGCACUCCGCCUGGGGAGUACGACCGCAAGGUUGAAACUCAAAGGAAUUGACGGGGGCCCGCACAAGCGGUGGAGCAUGUGGUUUAAUUCGAAGCAACGCGAAGAACCUUACCAGGUCUUGACAUCCUUUGACCACUCUAGAGAUAGAGCUUUCCCUUCGGGGACAAAGUGACAGGUGGUGCAUGGUUGUCGUCAGCUCGUGUCGUGAGAUGUUGGGUUAAGUCCCGCAACGAGCGCAACCCUUAUUACUAGUUGCCAGCAUUUAGUUGGGCACUCUAGUGAGACUGCCGGUGACAAACCGGAGGAAGGUGGGGACGACGUCAAAUCAUCAUGCCCCUUAUGACCUGGGCUACACACGUGCUACAAUGGAUGGUACAACGAGUUGCGAGACCGCGAGGUUUAGCUAAUCUCUUAAAACCAUUCUCAGUUCGGAUUGUAGGCUGCAACUCGCCUACAUGAAGCCGGAAUCGCUAGUAAUCGCGGAUCAGCAUGCCGCGGUGAAUACGUUCCCGGGCCUUGUACACACCGCCCGUCACACCAUGAGAGUUUGUAACACCCAAAG